RNAcentral lists this ribosomal RNA (253 nucleotides) under uncultured bacterium. Its description in RNAcentral is "partial 16S ribosomal RNA". It matches the Rfam family "Bacterial small subunit ribosomal RNA", at positions 524 to 776 of the family's 1533-position model. The record is from RNAcentral.
GACAGAGGGUGCAAACGUUGUUCGGAAUUACUGGGCGUAAAGCGCGUGUAGGCGGCCCUGUAAGUCGGGUGUGAAAUCCCACGGCUCAACCGUGGAAGUGCAUUCGAAACUACAGGGCUAGAGUUCUGGAGAGGAAGGUGGAAUGCUUGGUGUAGAGGUGAAAUUCGUAGAUAUCAAGCGGAACACCGGUGGCGAAGGCGGCCUUCUGGACAGUAACUGACGCUGAGACGCGAAAGCGUGGGGAGCGAACAGG